RNAcentral lists this small RNA (568 nucleotides) under Pan troglodytes (chimpanzee). Its description in RNAcentral is "retained intron". The record is from RNAcentral. Lineage: Eukaryota; Metazoa; Chordata; Mammalia; Primates; Hominidae.
AGUUUGCAAACCGAGGGGAGUUGUGAAGGGCGCAGGUGGGGGGCGCUGCCGGCCUCGUGGGUACGUUCGUGCCGCGUCUGUCCCAGAGCUGGGGCCGCAGGAGCGGAGGCAAGAGGGGCACUAUGGCAGUCAAAGUUAGGAGGCAGAGGCCGAGGAGGCGAGUCUGUUGGGCCUUGGUGGCUGUGCUCUUGGCAGACCUGUUGGCACUGAGUGAUACACUGGCAGUGAUGUCUGUGGACCUGGGCAGUGAGUCCAUGAAGGUGGCCAUCGUCAAACCUGGAGUGCCCAUGGAAAUUGUCUUGAAUAAGUGAGGGUGGCCCCCGUGUUAAGAGUGGGGAACUAGGGAGUCUGGGCUCCAAGUGUGAAUGUGUUAGUCAUAGUGCCCACAGCAGACUUCGGCAUCUGAGUGGUUAAAUGUGUGUGAGUGUCGAGGCUUCUGAGUCCUUCUGCUGCAGGCACCUGGGCCCAAAAUCUCUUUUCCUCAGGGAAUCUCGGAGGAAAACACCGGUGAUCGUGACCCUGAAAGAAAAUGAAAGAUUCUUUGGAGACAGUGCAGCAAGCAUGGUGA